GUGGGGAAUCUUGCACAAUGGGGGCAACCCUGAUGCAGCGACGCCGCGUGAGCGAUGAAGCCCUUCGGGGCGUAAAGCUCUUUCGACCGGAACGAUAAUGACGGUACCGGGAGAAGAAGCUGCGGCUAACUACGUGCCAGCAGCCGCGGUAAUACGUAGGCAGCAAGCGUUGUUCGGAGUUACUGGGCGUAAAGAGUGCGUAGGCGGUUUUCUAAGUUCGGUGUGAAAUCUCCCGGCUUAACUGGGAGGGUGCGCCGAAGACUGGGAAGCUGGAGUGUGGGAAAGGCAGGCGGAAUUCCUGGUGUAGCGGUGAAAUGCGUAGAUAUCAGGAGGAACACCGGCGGUGUAGACGGCUUGCUAGACCAUAACUGGCGCUGAGGCACGAAAGCGUGGGUAGCAAACA
RNAcentral lists this ribosomal RNA (403 nucleotides) under uncultured bacterium. RNAcentral describes it as "bacterial SSU rRNA". It matches the Rfam family "Bacterial small subunit ribosomal RNA", at positions 354 to 774 of the family's 1533-position model. The record is from RNAcentral.